UACGAAGGGGGCUAGCGUUGUUCGGAAUUACUGGGCGUAAAGCGCACGUAGGCGGCGCGUCAAGUCAGGGGUGAAAGGCCUGGGCUCAACCCGGGAACUGCCUUUGAGACUGGCGUGCUGGAGUCCGGAAGAGGGUGGCGGAAUUCCCAGUGUAGAGGUGAAAUUCGUAGAUAUUGGGAAGAACACCGGUUGCGAAGGCGGCCACCUGGUCCGGUACUGACGCUGAGGUGCGAAAGCGUGGGGAGCAAAC
This 250-nucleotide ribosomal RNA is filed under the name uncultured bacterium. RNAcentral describes it as "partial 16S ribosomal RNA". It matches the Rfam family "Bacterial small subunit ribosomal RNA", at positions 524 to 773 of the family's 1533-position model. The record is from RNAcentral.